This 433-nucleotide ribosomal RNA is filed under the name uncultured bacterium. RNAcentral's name for it is "partial 16S ribosomal RNA". It matches the Rfam family "Bacterial small subunit ribosomal RNA", at positions 29 to 507 of the family's 1533-position model. The record is from RNAcentral.
AGCGAACGCUGGCGGCAGGCCUAACACAUGCAAGUCGAACGAACACUUCGGGGUUAGUGGCGGACGGGUGAGUAACACGUGGGAACGUGCACUUAGGUUCGGUAUAACUCAGGGAAACUUGUGCUAAUACCGAAUGUGCUCUUCGGGGGAACGAUUUAUCGCCUUUGGAGCGGCCCGCGUCAGCUUAGCGAGUUGGUGAGGUAAAGGCUCACCAAGGCGACGAUCAGUAGCUGGUCUGUGAGCAUGAUCAACCACAGUGGGACUGAGACACGGCCCACACGCCUACGGGAGGCAGCAGUGGGGAAUCUUGCGCAAUGGGGGAAGGCCUAACGCAGCCGUGUCGCGUAAAUGAGGAAGGUGUUAGGAUUGUACAUUUGUUUGACCGGGGACGAUAGUGACGGUAACCGGAGAAGAAGCCCCGGCUAACUACGUG